AUUGACCGCUGGCGGCAGGCCUAACACAUGCCAGUCGACCGAGUGACGGACGGGUGAGUAAUUUCUGGGAAACUGCCUGAUGGAGGGGGAUAACUACUGUAAACGGUAGCUAAUACCGCAUACCAUCAGAUGUGCCCAGAUGGGAUUAGCUUGUUGGUGGGGUAACGGCUCACCAAGGCGACGAUCCCUAGCUGGUCUAAGAGGAUGACCAGCCAAACUGGAACGGAGACACGGUCCAGUCUCCUACGGGAGGCAGCAGUGGGGAAUAUGGCACAAUGGGCGCAAGCCUGAUGCAGCCAUGCCGCGUGUAUGAAGAAGGCCUUCGGGUUGUAAAGUACUUUCAGCGGGGAGGCGUUACCCGCAGAAGAAGCACCGGCUAACUCCGUGCCAGCAGCCGCGGUAAUAC
Molecule: ribosomal RNA, 406 nt
Filed under: uncultured bacterium
Lineage: Bacteria
Description: partial 16S ribosomal RNA
Rfam family: Bacterial small subunit ribosomal RNA
Source: RNAcentral